GGGCCCGCACAAGCGGUGGAGCAUGUGGUUUAAUUCGACGCAACGCGAAGAACCUUACCAGCUCUUGACAUUGCUAAGUCGCGAGUUUUAGAGAUAAAACUCUUCAGUUCGGCUGGACUUAGUACAGGUGCUGCAUGGCUGUCGUCAGCUCGUGUCGUGAGAUGUUGGGUUAAGUCCCGCAACGAGCGCAACCCUUGUCCUUAGUUGCCAGCAAUUCGGUUGGGCACUCUAGGGAGACUGCCGGUGAUAAACCGGAGGAAGGUGGGGAUGACGUCAAGUCCUCAUGGCCCUUACAGGCUGGGCUACACACGUGCUACAAUGGCGAUGACAGUGGGCAGCGACCCCGCAAGGGUGAGCUAAUCUCCAAAAGUCGUCUCAGUUCGGAUUGUCCUCUGCAACUCGAGGGCAUG
This 410-nucleotide ribosomal RNA is filed under the name uncultured bacterium. Its description in RNAcentral is "bacterial SSU rRNA". It matches the Rfam family "Bacterial small subunit ribosomal RNA", at positions 917 to 1322 of the family's 1533-position model. The record is from RNAcentral.